GACGAACGCUGGCGGCGUGCCUAAUACAUGCAAGUAGAACGCUGAAGAGAGGAGCUUGCUCUUCUUGGAUGAGUUGCGAACGGGUGAGUAACGCGUAGGUAACCUGCCUGGUAGCGGGGGAUAACUAUUGGAAACGAUAGCUAAUACCGCAUAAAAUUGAUUAUUGCAUGAUAAUUAAUUGAAAGAUGCAACUGCAUCACUACCAGAUGGACCUGCGUUGUAUUAGCUAGUUGGUGAGGUAACGGCUCACCAAGGCGACGAUACAUAGCCGACCUGAGAGGGGGACAGCCCCACCUGGACUGGAGACACGCCCCAGACUCCCCGGGGGGGCAGCAGAGGGGAAUCUGGGGCAAGGGGGGAAACCCUGACGGAGAACCGCGGGGGGAGGGAGGAGGGUUUUCGGAGCGAAAAGCUUUUUUGAAAGAGAAGAAGGGGUGGGGGGGGGAAAAGUCCACACGGUGAGGUUACCUAACAAAAAGGGGAGGCCAAACUACGUC
Molecule: ribosomal RNA, 497 nt
Filed under: uncultured bacterium
Lineage: Bacteria
Description: partial 16S ribosomal RNA
Rfam family: Bacterial small subunit ribosomal RNA
Source: RNAcentral